RNAcentral lists this ribosomal RNA (494 nucleotides) under uncultured bacterium. RNAcentral describes it as "partial 16S ribosomal RNA". It matches the Rfam family "Bacterial small subunit ribosomal RNA", at positions 30 to 507 of the family's 1533-position model. The record is from RNAcentral.
AUUGAACGCUGGCGGCAUGCUUUACACAUGCAAGUCGAACGACAGCGGGGAGGAGCUUGCUUCUCUGCCGGCGAGUGGCGAACGGGUGAGUAAUACAUCGGAACGUGUCGAGAAGAGGGGGAUAACCACCCGAAAGGGUGGCUAAUACCGCAUAAAUUCUGAGGAAGAAAGCUGGGGACCUAGGAAUAGGCCUAGCGCUUUUUGAGCGGCCGAUGUCGGAUUAGCUAGUUGGUGAGGUAAAGGCUCACCAAGGCGAAGAUCUGUAGCGGGUCUGAGAGGAUGAUCCGCCACACUGGGACUGAGACACGGCCCAGACUCCUACGGGAGGCAGCAGUGGGGAAUUUUGGACAAUGGGGGCAACCCUGAUCCAGCCAUGCCGCGUGUAUGAAGAAGGCCUUAGGGUUGUAAAGUACUUUUGUUAGGGAAGAAAAGUCAGCUGUGAAUAAUGGCUGAUACUGACGGUACCUAAAGAAUAAGCACCGGCUAACUACGUG